AUCCAGCUGACGGGUCCCGAAUAGGACGAAACGCGCGUCCUGGAU
This is a non-coding RNA of Schistosoma rodhaini, 45 nucleotides long. The record is from Rfam. NCBI's taxonomy places the organism in Eukaryota, Metazoa, Platyhelminthes, Trematoda, Strigeidida, Schistosomatidae.